Molecule: ribosomal RNA, 253 nt
Filed under: uncultured bacterium
Lineage: Bacteria
Description: partial 16S ribosomal RNA
Rfam family: Bacterial small subunit ribosomal RNA
Source: RNAcentral
UACGUAGGGUGCGAGCGUUAAUCGGAAUUACUGGGCAUAAAGCGCACGUAGGCGGUCCGUUAAGUCAUGUGUGAAAUCCCCCGGCUCAACCGGGGAAUUGCGCCUGAUACUGGAGGGCUAGAGGUCGAUAGGGGUGAGCGGAACUCCAGGUGGAGCGGUGAAAUGCGUAGAUAUCUGGAGGAACACCGGUGGCGAAAGCGGCUCACUGGAUCGAAACUGACGCUGAGGUGCGAAAGCUAGGGUAGCAAACGGG